CACCAUGCAUCUCCAGGAAGAGAUCAAGACUGGAAGCAUAGUUCUUACCAAACCACCCUCAUCUCUCUGUCUUUGCUGCCUCAAUACUGGGGUUUGAAUCUAGGGGUGUAUGAAGACUCAGAAAGUGCCCUACCACUGAGCUGUAUCCCCCACCUUCUGAACCAUAUCGAACAAGAAGUUCCUGGACAGGUGUGGUGAACUCAAUGGCUGAACUACAUCUGAGGGCCCAGAUUCUGCCCUGUCAGAGCUUCUCGCCAUCCCCAGAGUUCUCCCAAAGUCUCAUUCAGUCUGAACUGAGAAACACGUACACCUAAAAC
Molecule: long non-coding RNA, 317 nt
Filed under: Rattus norvegicus (Norway rat)
Lineage: Eukaryota; Metazoa; Chordata; Mammalia; Rodentia; Muridae
Description: long non-coding RNA NONRATT032290
Source: RNAcentral